RNAcentral lists this ribosomal RNA (301 nucleotides) under uncultured bacterium. RNAcentral describes it as "partial 16S ribosomal RNA". It matches the Rfam family "Bacterial small subunit ribosomal RNA", at positions 509 to 807 of the family's 1533-position model. The record is from RNAcentral.
CAGUAGCCGCGGGAAUACGAAGGGUGCAAGCGUUAAUCGGAAUUACUAGGCGUAAAGCGUGCGUAGGCGGUUUGUUAAGUCUGUUGUGAAAUCCCCGGGCUCAACCUGGGAAUGGCAAUGGAUACUGGCAAGCUAGAGUGUGUCAGAGGAUGGUGGAAUUCCCAGUGUAGCGGUGAAAUGCGUAGAGAUCGGGAGGAACAUCAGUGGCGAAGGCGGCCAUCUGGGACAACACUGACGCUGAGGCACGAAAGCGUGGGGAGCAAACAGGAUUAGAUACCCCUGUAGUCCCUGUCUCUUAUAC